Mobula hypostoma (lesser devil ray) is the source of this 10763-nucleotide long non-coding RNA. RefSeq lists it as uncharacterized. Lineage: Eukaryota; Metazoa; Chordata; Chondrichthyes; Myliobatiformes; Myliobatidae. The transcript is spliced from 5 exons. The record is from RefSeq and is a predicted model, not a curated record.
AGGACAACAUUUCAACUCAGAUAAUUUUAGUCUCCAUGGUGCCUUCUGAUAAAAACACUGUCACAGCUCAAAAUAAUUAGUGGGAACAAGACUUCAUCUUCUAACUGGCUACAGUUCCGGCAUCAGGGACAAUAUCAAACUCUCCGCUUCCCUCUCUGUAUCAAAAUGGAUUAAUCCUACUGUGUUGCCCUUAAGGCAUUUAUUUGACUUUGUUGGGUCUACGCUUUAAAUGAUUUGUUUGUAAAUUUUCUCGUUAAAGUUAAAGGUUGAUAAUUAAGUUACAGUUUAACAAAGGUAAAAUCGCUGUCUACGGUAUAUCGCGGCAUGUGAUGACGUCAUCUCCGGUUUCGCCGUGUAACCUCCGGUUCGGAGAAGGUGUGAAGGUGGAUGCCAUGCGUGCGGCAUGAUCGUGAAGAGCUCCGUUUCUACCCACAAAGAAACAUUAUAGAAGCAACGCCAGACAGACACAGAGUCUAUAGAAUUGAAACAAAAAUGGAGUGAGGUCAUGAAACAUAUCUGGAUACAGAAGAGGAGGUGUUUGCUGUCUUGAGACAAAUUAGAGUGGAUGAAUAACCAGAGCCUGCCAGGAAUAGAUAUGGACUUCCUGCUGGCAGUGGAUGGAAUAACAGCAUUUUAUAGCCGCUCCUAGUUUACUUUACUUUUCCUACAUUCCAACCUGAUUUGAUACCAUGACUGCAAGAACUGCUGAAGAUAAACAGGAAAAUUCUUCUACAUCUUUGGAUUCUAUUAUCGAAUUGCUACAAAAGCACAGAAAUGAAGCGUCCGAGGAAUUUCAGUGAUUCAGAAAAGAAUCCUCCGAAAAGGUUCAACAACUUGGCUCUGAAAUUAAACAAUUAAGUACAAAACUGGAUUCUAUUCAAGAAACCUUAACUAAGCACGAUAAAUGAAUAAAAGAGAAUGAAGAAAUCCUGUCGAUUCUGGAUCAGAAAAAGGACAACCUUCAAAAGCGUUAUGGAAAACAAUCCAAGGUUAACGAUGAACUAAGACAGAUUACUGAUUUAGAAAACAGAAGUAGAAGGAAUAACUUAUGAAUUCUUGGUCUCGAAGAGUUAACUGAAGGUGAUCGUCCUACGGAAUAUUUUGCAAACUUUCUGGUUCAGUUAUUUCCUGAUAUUUUAAAAUCAACACUAAUGAUUGACUGAGCGCAGAAUGUUUGCAAGAAAACCUCGUUCAGUGAUAAUCACUUUUCAUGAGUUGCAAACAAAGGACCGUAUAAUUCGUGAAUCUCGUCAGAAAGUUUAACAAAGGUAAAAUCGCUGUCUACGGUAUAUCGCGGCAUGUGAUGACGUCAUCUCCGGUUUCGCCGUGUAACCUCCGGUUCGGAGAAGGUGUGAAGGUGGAUGCCAUGCGUGCGGCAUGAUCGUGAAGAGCUCCGUUUCUACCCACAAAGAAACAUUAUAGAAGCAACGCCAGACAGACACAGAGUCUAUAGAAUUGAAACAAAAAUGGAGUGAGGUCAUGAAACAUAUCUGGAUACAGAAGAGGAGGUGUUUGCUGUCUUGAGACAAAUUAGAGUGGAUGAAUAACCAGAGCCUGCCAGGAAUAGAUAUGGACUUCCUGCUGGCAGUGGAUGGAAUAACAGCAUUUUAUAGCCGCUCCUAGUUUACUUUACUUUUCCUACAUUCCAACCUGAUUUGAUACCAUGACUGCAAGAACUGCUGAAGAUAAACAGGAAAAUUCUUCUACAUCUUUGGAUUCUAUUAUCGAAUUGCUACAAAAGCACAGAAAUGAAGCGUCCGAGGAAUUUCAGUGAUUCAGAAAAGAAUCCUCCGAAAAGGUUCAACAACUUGGCUCUGAAAUUAAACAAUUAAGUACAAAACUGGAUUCUAUUCAAGAAACCUUAACUAAGCACGAUAAAUGAAUAAAAGAGAAUGAAGAAAUCCUGUCGAUUCUGGAUCAGAAAAAGGACAACCUUCAAAAGCGUUAUGGAAAACAAUCCAAGGUUAACGAUGAACUAAGACAGAUUACUGAUUUAGAAAACAGAAGUAGAAGGAAUAACUUAUGAAUUCUUGGUCUCGAAGAGUUAACUGAAGGUGAUCGUCCUACGGAAUAUUUUGCAAACUUUCUGGUUCAGUUAUUUCCUGAUAUUUUAAAAUCAACACUAAUGAUUGACUGAGCGCAGAAUGUUUGCAAGAAAACCUCGUUCAGUGAUAAUCACUUUUCAUGAGUUGCAAACAAAGGACCGUAUAAUUCGUGAAUCUCGUCAGAAAGGUAUGAUUGAUUUUAAUGGUAAGAAGAUCAGAAUUGUUGAAGAUCUCUCAGCAGAGAUUAUGAGGGAGCAUGCUGAGUUUAAAAGCAUCAUGUCAGAGUUCUGCAACAAGAAUUUUAAACUUUCUCUAUGGUACCCGGCGAGGCUCAGAAUUACACUGCAGGAUGGAUCGCAGAAAUGGUUCCGUUCGAGUCUCCAGGCCCAGGAAUUUUUAGAAAAUCAAUAAGAAUAUUGAAAAAGGAAGAAAAGAAGAGAAUCAGAGCUGAGGAUGCAGAGGAAAUGACCAGGUUCUGAAAGCAAUCUUCACUACGCCCAGUUGAAGGGAAAUAUGACUCAUUCUCCAGGGAUGUCAAAGGCGUCCAUCUAGUUCAAGUAUCCCCUGGAUUUAAGUGGAAGCCAUUGUUUCCUUCUGCUUGCAGAGUAUCAUAAGUAUACUGUAUUUUCAUUUCCAAACACACUGAACAUUCUGAUGGAUGGAGAAAAAUUGGAUGUAGACUUGACUCAAUUUAAUUUUCAGCACAUCAGAAUAACAAUAACAGAGCAGAGGAAGUAUAUGUUAUACUUCAGGGAUCGGUAAAAAUACCUGCAAUUUUUUACCUGUAUAGACAUAUUGCAACAUUAGCAUCAAAUACUUUCUUUCAGUAGGCUCUACUGACAAAUUUAAAUUUGUGGUUCACUUCCGGCUCACUCUCCUGGUUGUUAAGGAUUAAGAUCCAGAGAGUCAUUGAGAGAUGCAAACAGACUGAAAAUGCGUACCAUGCCCUUUAUUGUAAAGUGACUCACUUCCAAAAAAUGCAUACAUUUGAAUGCCGGGCCAUUAAAUAUUCAGAAAAUCUUAAACGAGAGAGCAUUUUUAUCUCUCUGAAAUGUAUAUCAAAAAUAUAUUGAAGUGCUUGUUACAACAGUCUUUACUGUGCAUCCAGAGCAUACAUUAUAAAUAGGAGAUGGUAGAAGACAUACAGUAUUGCUAAGUGACAUUUCAUAUUUCAAUAAAUAAAUCGUUCUAAAUAAAUAAUAUUUACAGUCAGCUUUCAGAGAUAUAGGACAACAUGUUUGUAUAUAAAAGCUUGCACAUGACCAGAAAACAAAUGAUGUAGUGAGGUAUAAAUGGGUUUCCCAGGAAUCAUUGUUAUUAGUUUAUCAAUGUAUUUUCCCAGAUUUUCCCUUGUGUCGCAUAUAGCCUUAAUUUGAUGGUGUCUGCAUUCUGAAUUUGUAUUAGCAAUUUGUGAUGCCAAGUUGUUUCGUGCAAUUUCCAGUACAGUUUAUCACAUAUCAGAGGGCCAAGUGCCAGGAAAGCUAUUGCCAGGAGUAUUUUACAGAGGGGAGUGUUUGCAGAAAUGUGGGAGUGGAGCACUCAUCCAGUCAGUCUGGUUCCAAGGUAAUACACUAGUCACUGUGACAAAGAUUUCAGACCCUGCAGAAAUGUGUAUACCAUCUCCACAUAAAAUGUACCUUCCAUUUAACUCUGAACCUCUGCAGCACUAAAAGGAUUCGGAUUCAGAUCAAUUUAUUUAUCACAUAUACAUCAAAACAUAGAGUAAAAUGCAUCGUUUGUGUUAACAACCAGCACGACCUAAGGAUAUGCUGGGGGCAGCCCCUACACAUUCCCGCACCAACAUAGCAUGCCCACAAUGCUUGGCAGAACACAACAAGCAAUAAAAUGACAACAGCAAAACAAGCCCCGUUCCUCCCUCCCUUUCACCCACACAGACAGCCCUCCAGCCCCAGGGCAGGACUCCAGGCUUCCCGCAGACUUGCAGACAAUGAGCCUCUGACUUCCCUAGAGGACUUCAGACUCGUAGACCCAGGGCUUCGGCCAUUGAGCUUCAGCUUCUGGACUUCUGAUUGACCUUUGGGCUUUUAUUAAAGUACAUGUAUGUCACCCUGAGAUUCAUUUCCUUGCAGGCAUUCACUGUAAAUUCAAGAAACCCAAUAGAUUCAAUGAAAGACACCACCAAUAAAAUGGACAUCAGCCAACAAACAACAAACUGUGCAAAUACAAAACAAGAAAAACAAAACAAAAUAUUAAUAAUAAAUAACUAAACAAUAAAUAUUGAGAACAUAAUCUGCAGAGUCCUUGAAAGUGAGUCUGUAGAUUGUGGGAACAGUUCAAUGUUGGACGAGUAAAAGUGAGUAUAUUUAUCCGCUCUGGUUUAAGACCCAGAUGGCUGAGGAGUAAUAACUAUUCCUGAACCUGGUGGCGUGGGUCCUAAGGCUCCUGUACUUUCUUCCUGAUGGCAGCAACAAGAAGAGAGCAAGGUAUGGAUGGUGGGCGUCCUUGAUGGUGGAUGCUGCUUUCCUGCAACAGUGCUCUGUAGAUGUGGUCAAUGGUGGGGAGGGCUUUACCCAUGAUGGACUGAGCUGUAUCCACUACUUUUUGCAGACUUUUAAAUUCAAGGGCAUUGGCAUUUCCAUACCAGUCCGUGGUACAGUACAACCACUCAAUAUACUCUCCAGUGCACAUCUAUGGAAGUUUGCCGGAUCUUCGGAUAAUUCUUGCAAAGUAGGGAUGUUCCAAUGCUUUCUUCAUACUGCCACUUAUGUGGUGGAUCCAGGACACACCCUCUGAAAUGAUAACACAGAGGAACUUAGAGUUGCUGACCCUCUCCACCUCUGAUCCCCAGAUGAGGACUGGGUUAUGGACCUCUGGUUUUCACCUCCUGUAGUCAAUAGACAUCUCCUUGGUCUUGCUGACAGUGAGUGAGGUGUUGUUGUAGCCAGAUUUUCAAUCUCUCUCCUACAUGCUGAUUUGUCACCACCUUUGAUUCAGCUGACUGAGGUGUCAGUGAACUUAAAUAAGGCUUAGCCUCACAGUCAUAAGUAUAAAGUGAGUAGAGCAGGAGGAUAAGCACACAGCCUUGUGGUCCACCCAUGCUGAUGGAGAUUGCGGAGGAGUUAUAGUUCCCAAUACAAACUGAGUGAAGUCUGCAAGUGAGGAAAGCGAGGAUUCAGUUGCACAAGAAGGUAUUGAGGACUAGGCCUUGAAAUUUAUUGAUUAGUUUUGAGGAGAUGAUAACAUUGAAUGCCCAGCAGUAGUCAAUGAAGAGCAUCUACGGAGUCUCUGUAGGUGGAAGUUAGGAAUAGGAAGGGGUCAAUCACUCUACUGAGUGUUUUUUAUAGACCACCCAAUAGUAACAGGGACAUCGAGGAGCAGACAGGGAGACAGAUUCUGGAAAGGAGCAAUAAUAACAGGGUUGUUACGGUGGGACAUUUUAAUUUCCCAAAUAUUGAUUGGCAUCUCUAGAGUGGGGGGUUUAUAUGGGGUAAAGUUUGUUAGGUGUGUUCAGGAAGGUUUCUUGACACAAUAUGUAGAUAAGCCUACAAAAGGAGAGGCUGUGCUUGAUCUGGUAUUGGGAAAUGAACCUGGACAGGUGUCAAGUCUCUCAGUAGAGAGCAUUUUGGAGGUAGUGAUCACAAUUCUAUCUCCUUUACCGUAACAUUGGAGAGGGAUAGGAACAGACAAGUUAGGGAAAUGUUUAAUUGGAGUAAGGGGAAAUAUGAGGCUAUCAGGCAGGAACUUGGAAGCAUAAAUUGGAAACAGAUGUUCUCAGGGAAACGUACAGAAGAAACGUGGCAAAUGUUCAGGGGAUAUUUGCAUGGGGUUCUGAGUAGGUACGUUCCAAAUGAGACUUGGAAAGGAUGCUAGGGUAGAAGAUCCGUGGUGUAGAAAGGCUGUUGUAAAUCUAGUCAAGAAGUAAAGAAGAGCUUAUGAAAGGUUCAAAAAACUAGGUAAUGAUAUGAAUCUAGAAGAUUAUAAGGCAAGCAGGAAGGAGCUUAAGAAUGAAAUUAGGAGAGCCAGAAGGGGCCAUGAGAUGGCAUUGGCGGACAGGAUUAAAGAAAACCCCAAGGCAUUCUACAAGUACGUGAAGAGCAAAAGGAUAAGACAUGAGAGAAUAGGACCAAUCAAGUGACAGUGGAAGAGUGUGUAUGGAACCGGAGGAAAUAGCGGAGGUAUUUAAUGAACACUUUGUUUCAGUAUUCACUACAGAAAAAGAUCUUGGCGAUUGUAGGGAUGACUUGCAGUGGACUAAAAAGCUUGAGCAUGUAGAUAUUAAGGAAGAGGAUGUGCUGGAGCUUUUGGAAAGCAUCAAGUUGGAUAAGUCACCGGGACCAGGGGAAAUGAGGGAGGAGAUUGCUGAGUCUCUAGCAAUGAUCUUUGCAUCAUCAAUGAGGACGGGAGAGGUUCCGGAGGAUUGGAGGGUUGCGGACGUUGUUCCCUUAUUCAGGAAAGGGAGUAAGGUUAGCCCAGGGAGUAAGGUUAGCCCAGGAAGUUACAGGCCAGUGAGUCGUACUUCAGUGGUUGGUAAGUUGAUGGAGAAGAUCCUGAGAGGCAGGAUUUAUGAACAUUUGGAGAGGCGUAAUGUGAUUAGGAAUAGUUAGCAUGGCUUUGUCAAAGGCAGGUCAUGCCUUAUGAGCCUGAUUGAAUUUUUUGAGGAUGUGACUAAACACAUUGAUGAAGGAAGAGCAGUAGAUGUAGUGUAUAUGGAUUUUAGCAAGGCAUUUGAUAAGGUACCCCAUGCAAGGCUUAUUGAGAAAGUAAGGAGGCAUAGGAUCCAAGGGGACAUUGCUUUGUGGAUUCAGAACUGGCUUGUCCACAGAAGGCAAAGAGUGGAUGUAGACGGGUCAUAUUCUGCAUGGAGGUCAGUGACCAGUUAUGUGCCUCAGGGAUCUGCUCUGCGACCCCUACACUUUGUGAUAUUUAUAAACGACCUGGAUGAGGAAGUGGAGGGAUGGGUUAGUAAAUUUGUCGAUGGCACGAAGGUUUGGGGUGUUGUGGAUAGUGUAUAGGCCUGUGGGAGGUUACAGCGGGUCAAUGAUAGGGUGCAAAACUGGACUGAGAAGUGGCAGAUGGACUUCAACCCAGAUAAGUGUGAGGUGGCUCAUUUUGGUCGUUCAUUUCAAAUAUGAUGGCAGAAUAUAGCAUUAAUGAUGAGACUGUUGGCAGUGUGGAGGAUCAGAGGGAUCUUGAGGUCCGAGUCCAUGGGACACUCAAAGCUGCUAUGCAGGUUGACUCUGUGGUUAAGAAGGCAUAUGGUGCAUUGGCCUUCAUCAAUCGUGGGACUGAGUUUAAGAGCCGAGAGGUAUUCUUGCCACUAUAUAGGACCCUGGUCAGACCCCACUUGGAGUACUGUGCUCAACUCUGGUCGCCUCACUACAGGAAGGACAUGGGAACCAGAGAAAGGGUGCAGAGGAGAUUUACAAGGAUGUUGCCUGGAUUGGGGAGCAUGCCUUUUGAGAAUAGGUUGAGUGAACUCAGCCUUUUCUUCUUGGAGUGACGGAGGAUGAGAGGUGUCCUGAUUGAGAUGUUCAAGAUAAUGAGAGGCAUUGAUCGUGUGGAUAGUCAGAGACUUUUCCCCAGGGUUGAAAUGGCUAGCACGAGAGGGCAUAGUUUUAUGAUGUUUGGAAGUAGGUACAGAAGAGAUGUCAGGGGUUAAGUUUUUUACGCGGAGAGUGGUGAGUGCCUGUAAUGGGCUGCCGGCGGCAGUGGAGGAGGCGGAAACAGUAAGGUCUUUUAAGAGACUCCUUGAUGGCUACAUGGAGCUUAGAAAAGCAGAGGGCUAUGGAUAAAGCCUAGGUAGUUCUAAGGUAGGGACAUGUUCGGCACAGCUUUGUGGGCCGAAAGGCCUGUAUUGUGCUAAAGGUUUUCUCUGUUUCUAUGUCUCUAUGUUUGUAUCUUCACCGUCCAAAUGUUCCAGGGUUGAGUGAAGAGUCAAUGAAAUGGCAUCUGCUGUUAACCUGUUGUGAUGUUAAGCAAUCUGGAGCCGAUCCAAGUCACUUCUCAGGCAGGAAUUGAUACGUUUCAUCACCAACCUCUGAAAGUGUUAUGUCACAGUGAGUGUUACUGGAUGAUAGUCAUUGAGACAGAUUGCCACAUUCUUCUUAGGCACUAUAUAAUUGAAGCCUGCAUGAACCAGAUUGCCUAAGUGAGAGUUUAAAGAUACAAGUGAACCCUCCAGCCAGCUGAUCAUCUCAAAACUUAGUAUUCAACCAAGUACCCUGUCUGGGGCAGAUUCUUUCAGUGGGUUCACCCUCCUAAAGAAUGCUCUCACGUUAGGCUCAGAGAAUGAAAACACAGUGGCUGUGGGAGUUCAUGAAGGUGUCUCCAUGUGUUGAUGUUCAAAGUGAACAUAAACAGCAUUGAGCUCAUCUGGGAGUGAAACCUGGUGAGAUCAAAUGUUUUAGUUCAAAUAAUCAGAGGCAGGCAAAAGGUAGAAAUCUAAUCUAUUUUAAAUGGCAAAAAAAAGAGACCAUGGAGAGAGAAAAGGGAAUCUCUAUGUUGGAUUAAAGACCAGGAGUGAUCCAUGACACAAAUGGUGUUGGUGAGGCCUCAAGGAGAAGGUGAAGACUUGCUAAUGACAGUUGAUCCAUCCGGAGGAGAUGGGAAUCCAGUGGACAGGGGGCAAAGCAAAGGAACAGUGCUGGAACUAAGAUACAAAGUUUUGCAGCUGCUCAAAAGCCCCAAUAAGAGAUUCCAGCAUCUGCAGAAUUCCUCAUGUUUGCUAAGAAUACAUCCUGUUUUCAACCAACACCAGAGUCAUAGUGUUAUGCAACAUGGGAACAAGCCCUUUAUUGACUUCAGUGUUGAAUCCUGGGGUCUUAAUGUGCAGAGAUAGGAGAAAAAUGUUGUUCUUCACGUUCUGUUGAAAUAAGCUCCAUUGCUUAACGCGUGAGGAGUGUUUAAUGGCUCUGGGCCUGUACUCACUGGAGUUUCAAAGGUUUACAGAAUAUUGAAAGCCUGGAUAAAGAGGGCAUGAAGUGGAUGUUUCUAGUCAUGAAAGAGUGUAGGAAAAGAGGGCACAGCUUCAGGAUGAAAGGAUGUCCCAUUAGAACAGAGGUGAUGAGGAAUUUCUUUGUAAGAGGAUGGUGAAUCUAUGGAAUUCAUUGUCACUGACAGCUGUGGAGGCCAAAUCACUGGGUAUACUAAAGUGGCAGUUGGUAGGUUUCUGAUUAGUAAGGCUGUCAAAGGUUACAGGGAGAAGACAGAAAAGCCCAGUCCAUCACAGAAAAAGACCUCCCCUCUAUUGACCACAUCUACAAAGAAUGCCACCAUUGUCAUCAAGAGUUCCCACCAUUCAGGCCAUAUUCCUUCUCGCUUUAGGUCACACCAUGUUCAGAGACAGUUGUUACCAUUCAACCAUUAGGCCCCUGAACGAGCAUGGAUAACUUCACUCACUUCAACACUGAACUGAUUCCACAACCUAUGCACUUACUUUCAAGAACUCUCCAAUUCAUGUUCUGUGUAUUUAUUGUUAUUAAAUUUGUUGUUUUUUGUGUUAGCACAGUUUGACUUCUUUUGCACAUUGCUUGGUUGUCAAUGUUACAUUGUGUGUAGUUUUUAAUUGGUUCUAUUGUAUUCCUCUCUACUGUGAAUGCCUUCAGAAAAAUGAAUCUCUGGUUAGUAUACAGUGAAAUAUAUGUACUUUUAUAAUAAAUGUAUAUUGAACUUUGAAUAGGAUUGAGAGGGAAAAGUAAGUCAACCACAAAGUAAGUGACAUGAUCCUCUCAUAUUCCUUUUGCCAGUCACCUGUCCAGCUCUUGGCUCCAUCCCUCCCCCUCCUGUCUUCUCCUAUCAUUUUGGAUCUCCCUCUCCCCCUCCCCCUACCCCUCCCACUUUCAAACCUCUUACUAGCUCUUCCUUCAGUUAGUCCUGACGAAGGGUCUCAGCCCGUAACGUCGACUGUACCUCUUCCUAGAGAUGCUGCCUGCCCUGCUGCGUUCACCAGCAACUUUGAUGUGUGUUGCUUGAAUUUCCAGCAUCUGCAGAAUUCGUCGUGUCAACCACUUUAUGCUUCAUUUCAGAUUUUCACUGUCUAGUUUUUUUUUCCUUUUUGAUUUUUAGGUCAUUAAUGUAACUAGAUAGCAAGUUCAUUGUUUCAGCAAGUAUAUUAUUAAAACACUCUGAGAGGGAACUUAGUGGGUGCAGGAAGCUGCUACUUUGAUCAUUAGUUCCUCUUUCAUUCAAAUCAAAAGGUAGUAUUGAGAAGAAUUCUAAAGUUUGGUCAUUGGUAAGAAGCUGAUUACAAAUUACAGAAGAAAAGUUUGGAAGAGAUUUCUCUUACUCUCUUUAGUACCUAGUGCCAUUUCUCCAUCAGUGCACCAUGCUUCCUGUGGGGCAAAAGAAGUACAUUGACAGAAUUGUUAGCUGGGAUUCUUUACUAACCAGCGAUCCUUCCUGCACAACACAAAGUUCUUCAUAAAGGGUCAAAAUGGUCUGGACAACCAGUGAGGCCUGCUCCCAGACAGCAGUACCGGGUUCUCAGCCGAGCUAAAGGUAACACCAGGAGAGGAGGGAGUAUUUUAUAUAAAGUUAAGGAAAGGCAAAAUAUGAUUCAGCAUGUGCUGUUAUGGAAUUGUUUUUGAUUUUAAAAGCACUGUUUUAAAUAAUCAGAAAAAAAAACUGAAAGAAAGGGGAAUGAGAACUAUGAAGGGGAUGUUUAGCUUUAGGUAUAUGAAGUAAGAAUGCUGUAAUUCAAUCAUUCACUUUUUCCCAUUUACUCCUACUACACCGGCCCUACCCAAUAAAUGCACGUAA